GAUGAACGCUGGCGGCGUGCCUAAUACAUGCAAGUCGAGCGAACAGACGAGGAGCUUGCUCCUCUGACGUUAGCGGCGGACGGGUGAGUAACACGUGGAUAACCUACCUAUAAGACUGGGAUAACCUCGGGAAACCGGAGCUAAUACCGGAUAAUAUAUUGAACCGCAUGGUUCAGUAGUGAAAGACGGUUUUGCUGUCCCUUAUAGAUGGAUCCGCGCCGCAUUAGCUAGUUGGUAAGGUAACAGCUUACCAAGGCAACGAUGCGUAGCCGACCUGAGAGGGUGAUCGGCCACACUGGAACUGAGACACGGUCCAGACUCCUACGGGAGGCAGCAGUAGGGAAUCUUCCGCAAUGGGCGAAAGCCUGACGGGGCAACGCCGCGUGAGUGAGAAAGGGCUUCGGAUCGUAAAACUCUGUUACUAGGGAAGAACAAAUGUGUAAGUAACUAUGCACGUCUUGACGGUACCUAAUCAGAAAGCCACGGCUAACUACGUG
RNAcentral lists this ribosomal RNA (497 nucleotides) under uncultured bacterium. Its description in RNAcentral is "partial 16S ribosomal RNA". It matches the Rfam family "Bacterial small subunit ribosomal RNA", at positions 28 to 507 of the family's 1533-position model. The record is from RNAcentral.